Molecule: ribosomal RNA, 253 nt
Filed under: uncultured bacterium
Lineage: Bacteria
Description: partial 16S ribosomal RNA
Rfam family: Bacterial small subunit ribosomal RNA
Source: RNAcentral
GACGGAGGGGGCAAGCGUUGUCCGGACUCACUGGGCGUAAAGGGUGCGCAGGCGGCAGAGCGCGUCCGCGCUGAAAUCUGUCGGCUUAACUGACAGGCGCGUGCGGAUACGGCUCAGCUCGAGGCACGGAGAGGGCGGGGGAACUCCUGGUGUAGUGGUGAAAUUCGUAGAUAUUCGGAGGAACACCAGUGGCGAAGGCGGCUCACUGGUCCAUUACUGACGCUGAGGUGCGAAAGCGUGGGGAGCAAACAGG